This 373-nucleotide ribosomal RNA is filed under the name uncultured organism. RNAcentral describes it as "partial 16S ribosomal RNA". It matches the Rfam family "Bacterial small subunit ribosomal RNA", at positions 527 to 896 of the family's 1533-position model. The record is from RNAcentral.
GUAGGUGGCAAGCGUUGUCCGGAAUUAUUGGGCGUAAAGCGCGCGCAGGCGGUUCUUUAAGUCUGAUGUGAAAGCCCACGGCUCAACCGUGGAGGGUCAUUGGAAACUGGAGAACUUGAGUACAGAAGAGGAAAGCGGAAUUCCACGUGUAGCGGUGAAAUGCGUAGAGAUGUGGAGGAACACCAGUGGCGAAGGCGGCUUUCUGGUCUGUAACUGACGCUGAGGCGCGAAAGCGUGGGGAGCAAACAGGAUUAGAUACCCUGGUAGUCCGCGCCGUAAACGAUGAGUGCUAAGUGUUAGGGGGUUUUCCGCCCCCCUUAGUGCUGCAGCUAACGCAUUAAGCACUCCGCCUGGGAGUACGGCCGCAAGGCUG